Molecule: ribosomal RNA, 472 nt
Filed under: uncultured organism
Description: partial 16S ribosomal RNA
Rfam family: Bacterial small subunit ribosomal RNA
Source: RNAcentral
CACUCCUGCGGGAGGCAGCAGUGGGGAAUUUUGGACAAUGGGCGAAAGCCUGAUCCAGCAAUGCCGCGUGAGUGAAGAAGGCCUUCGGGUUGUAAAGCUCUUUUGUCAGGGAAGAAACGGUGAAAGCUAAUAUCUUUUGCUAAUGACGGUACCUGAAGAAUAAGCACAGGCUAACUACGUGCCAGCAGCCGCGGUAAUACGUAGGGUGCAAGCGUUAAUCGGAAUUACUGGGCGUAAAGCGUGCGCAGGCGGUUUUGUAAGUCUGAUGUGAAAUCCCCGGGCUCAACCUGGGAAUUGCAUUGGAGACUGCAAGGCUAGAAUCUGGCAGAGGGGGGUAGAAUUCCACGUGUAGCAGUGAAAUGCGUAGAUAUGUGGAGGAACACCGAUGGCGAAGGCAGCCCCCUGGGUCAAGAUUGACGCUCAUGCACGAAAGCGUGGGGAGCAAACAGGAUUAGAAACCCUGGUAGUCCCA